UGGCGGACGGGUGAGUAACACGUGGGAACGUGCCMMUUGGUCGGAUAACMAGGGAAACUUGUGCUAAUACCGAAUGUGCCCUUCGGGGGAAAGAGUUAYCGCCAUUAGAGCGGCCCGCGUCUGAUUAGCUAGUUGGUGAGGUAAAGGCUCACCAAGGCGACGAUCAGUAGCUGGUCUGAGAGGAUGAUCAGCCACAUUGGGACUGAGACACGGCCCAAACUCCUACGGGAGGCAGCAGUGGGGAAUCUUGCGCAAUGGGCGAAAGCCUGACGCAGCCAUGCCGCGUGAAUGAUGAAGGUCUUAGGAUUGUAAAAUUCUUUCACCGGGGACGAUAAUGACGGUACCCGGAGAAGAAGCCCCGGCUAACUUCGUGCCA
This 376-nucleotide ribosomal RNA is filed under the name Brevundimonas sp. RNAcentral describes it as "bacterial SSU rRNA". Lineage: Bacteria; Pseudomonadati; Pseudomonadota; Alphaproteobacteria; Caulobacterales; Caulobacteraceae. The record is from RNAcentral.